ACAAUAUUAGCAUUUAGCACAGCCUUAAAGACUAGCAGAGAAAGGAUGCAGUUGGUCAAGGUCUAGAACUUUGACAGCUGCAACAACAGCUACGCAGAGCAACACCCAGUAAUAAAAAGAAAAUACUGGAAAAAGAUUAAAACUCAGAGACAAAAGCAAGAAGAACUGAAAAGAUAACUGAAGAGGCUUACUAGGAGUUGAGAUGAGUCUGAGAGACGUGGAGACCCUCAUGAAAUAAUGACAUUAGCAGAAAGCAGGAAAGGGCAUUUUCUGUUCAGAAAGAUAAAACCGAAAAUGCACAGAGAAUUACUUGCGAAGUGACUGCUAAAACAAGAGAGGACAAAACCCAAGCACCAAGCUUCUACAAUGAUCUCCAAAUACCAGCAAUCAAAUACCUGGCCACAUUUCAGCUCCAACAAUUGCAGCUGCAGUCCCACCUCAGCAGAAGUGAGAAAUACAAGCAAGUAAGUGCCAACUGGGUUUCAGUCUCAAAUACUUCAGUAUCUCCUACCCUGAAGGACAUUUUGAACUGCAGUGGUGGUAAAAGCCUUCCUGCAUGAACUCCUUAAGUCUCCUUUACAACAAGCCAUUUACUGAGGAAACAGAGAAGAGUCUGUAUUUUAGCAAAACAACCUGUUUUCCAAGUUCUAAAAAUAGAAAAGAAAAAAAAUAUUAAAAACUGUCCGUCAUUUUGAAAGCACUCACAAGCAUUUCAUCCUAAGCAACACAGCCUCCCCCCUUGCUAAAAAUAAAACAGUACAUUACAGCAACAUUUUUUGCUGGCUUCAGCCAAGGACUUGAAAACCUCCCCUCAGCCCAGACAGGCCGUAAGCUGUGAGUCAGCACUUCUCAGCACUUCUGGAAAUUCCUCAGCAGAGCAUCCACCCUGUAGCAGGAAGCUGCCUGUUCACUUUAGCUGGUACCAGGAAAUGGACGGGCGGUCAUGGACCUCACCUGAGGUGGGGACACAGUUCAAGAAAAUUUCACUAAAGCUACCAAAUGUUCCCCAUCCCACC
Empidonax traillii (willow flycatcher) is the source of this 1016-nucleotide long non-coding RNA. RefSeq lists it as uncharacterized. The transcript has 3 exons. NCBI's taxonomy places the organism in Eukaryota, Metazoa, Chordata, Aves, Passeriformes, Tyrannidae. The record is from RefSeq and is a predicted model, not a curated record.